UUUUCAGUUUCGCUACCCUCUUCAUCUUCCUAUCUAGAGUUUAAAAGCAUACUUUAAAGAUGAGAAUCAAUGUAGAUGUGAAUUUCAAGUGUCAGCCGAUUGCAAAGGAAGGUCUACGGUUACUCCAUACAAUUUUGUUGAUCUGAGAUUUGUCACACUUCUUUAUCACUUCCAAAUCUCUUCUAAAUCACAACAGAGAGGGCUGCAAAAAUAUUAUUUAGAUAAAAAGCAUUUUGAAGUUUAUCUAUAGAUGAUCGGCUUUAGUUAUAUGUACACUUUGAAAGUAGAACAUGCCUCUCGAAGUGGACUACGAGAAAGAAUUGGUGAGGACGUAGAAAAAGAUGAAGCAAAAUCUGAAAUCUAAAUCUCCCUCUACUACAACUUUGAAGAUAAAGCGCAAGAACUCCUACACGAUUAGAUAUACAUUGGAUCUAUAAAGUUUUGAAAGUGAGAUGCAGUGUUGAAAAAUCAGAACCAGUGAAUGAAGAUGUGGAAGAAGAAGGUCAACAAUGGAGAAAGGGGAACUUGAAAAUCAAGCAUAGUCAAAAUAUACUCUUUGAAGAAACUACAAACGAGACUAGAGCGUGAGAAGGUUAAAAGAACAAACUAGAUAUAGCAGAAACUACAAACUAGAUAUCCAUAUAACACUUGUACAUGUUUGAACCGAAAUGUGUUAAAAAGA
This 682-nucleotide unclassified non-coding RNA is filed under the name Arabidopsis thaliana (thale cress). The record is from RNAcentral. Lineage: Eukaryota; Viridiplantae; Streptophyta; Magnoliopsida; Brassicales; Brassicaceae.